Long non-coding RNA from Panicum virgatum (switchgrass), 838 nucleotides. RefSeq lists it as uncharacterized. Lineage: Eukaryota; Viridiplantae; Streptophyta; Magnoliopsida; Poales; Poaceae. The record is from RefSeq and is a predicted model, not a curated record. The transcript is spliced from 2 exons.
CUUCAAAGAAUUAAACCGGCGUGCCUGUGAAACUCUUUUAGAUAAAAGGGUUGUAUCCUCUACCUAUCUAUUUGGAGCUGGUUUCACUUGGCACCAAAUUUUCAUGUUGAUUUGUAAUAACAAUAAAAUCAUGUAGAGUUUAAAGUUAUUGUUUGCUGCAGGAGCUGUGUGUUAAAACAUGCAGGAGCUGGGUGUAAAAACAAGUUGCAGAGCAACAUCAAGAUAUGUCAGAGCUUGUAGAGAAGGAAUCGGUAUUGGUGAAAGAUACUUACGAAUUCUUGCUCAUUCAAAUUGCUAACAGUGUCAACUUGUCUAAGCUCAAGCUCAUCAACUUUGUAACAGCAUUAUGUUUGAUUGAGUUGCAGUAGCGGCAGGAGUUGUUUUGUCGCGGCAACAACAACAAUGGCUAUCAUCAUCAGCUUGGGUAGCGGCGGCAGGAGUUGUUUUGUCGUGGCAACAACAACAAUGGCUAUCAUCACCAGCUUGGGUAGGUAAGCAGAUCAGCACUCAGCAAGGUUUCAGAUGUCAGGUUUAUGGAUUUUAUUUUUCACGCUAUAGUGAUGCUACUGCUAGUUCCAUUAUUUAAUCAUUGGUUGCUUGCUUUGGUUGGUCAGUUAAGUAGCUCAUUAGUUUAUUCACUAAAAUGAUUUUGUCUAUGAAGUAAAAUGCUACUUCUAUAUGCGUGGAUAAGAGGAGCAAUUAAAGAAUGAGGAGAUGAGAAGAACUACUUUACGCGGAUGUUCUGUCCUUGAAGCAAAAUGCAACUUUUGUUGGGAUUUCAUCUCGAUUUGCUCUGUUUUGGUGAAGAAACAAAUGUUGUUUUGAAUCAUGGUCAUUA